Molecule: ribosomal RNA, 465 nt
Filed under: uncultured bacterium
Lineage: Bacteria
Description: partial 16S ribosomal RNA
Rfam family: Bacterial small subunit ribosomal RNA
Source: RNAcentral
CCUACGGGUGGCAGCAGUGGGGAAUAUUGCGCAAUGGGCGAAAGCCUGACGCAGCGACGCCGCGUGAGGGAUGAAGGUCUUCGGAUCGUAAACCUCUGUCAGCAGGGACGAACGGUCACUGUGCUAAUCAGCAGUGAAUUGCCGGUACCUGCAAAGGAAGCACCGGCUAACUCCGUGCCAGCAGCCGCGGUAAAACGAAGGGUGCGAGCGUGAAUCGGAAGUACUGGGCGGAAAGCGCUCGUAGGGGGUAAGUAAAGUCAAGGGUGAAAUCCCCGCGCUCAACGUGGGAGCUGCCUGUGAAACUGGCAAACUGGAGUGUGUGAGAGGAUAGUGGAAUUCCAGGUGUAGGGGUGAAAUGCGUAGAUAUCUGGAGGAACAUCAGUGGCGAAGGCGACUAUCUGGCACAUAACUGACGCUGAGGAGCGAAAGCGUGGGUAGCAAACAGGAUUAGAUACCCUUGUAGUC